UAGGGAAUAUUGCACAAUGGGCGAAAGCCUGAUGCAGCAACGCCGCGUGUGCGAUGAAGGCCUUCGGGUCGUAAAGCACUUUUCUGGGAGAUGAGAAAGGACAGUAUCCCAGGAAUAAGUCUCGGCUAACUACGUGCCAGCAGCCGCGGUAAAACGUAGGAGGGGAGCGUUAUCCGGAUUCACUGGGUGUAAAGCGCGUGCAGGCGGUUCGGUAAGUUGGGCGUGAAAUCUCCUGGCUCAACUAGGAGAGGUCGUCCAAUACUACCGGGCUUGAGAGCGGUAGAGGAAGAUGGAAUUCCCGGUGUAGUGGUGAAAUGCGUAGAUAUCGGGAGGAACACCAGUGGCGAAGGCGAUCUUCUGGACCGUUUCUGACGCUCAGACGCGACAGCUAGGGUAGCAAACGGG
Molecule: ribosomal RNA, 405 nt
Filed under: bacterium
Lineage: Bacteria
Description: partial 16S ribosomal RNA
Rfam family: Bacterial small subunit ribosomal RNA
Source: RNAcentral